CAAUAGCGUAUAUUAAAGUUGUUGCAGUUAAAAAGCUCGUAGUUGGAUUUGUGGUUCGUCCCGCCGGCUGGGUCAUUGACCUUUGCUGUGCUGGUCGUCCAUCCUUGGGUGGAAUCUGUGUGGCAUUAGGUUGUCGUGCAGGGGAUGCCCAUCGUUUACUGUGAAAAAAUUAGAGUGUUCAAAGCAGGCUUAUGCCGUUGAAUAUAUUAGCAUGGAAUAAUGAUAUAGGACCUUGGUACUAUUUUGUUGGUUUGCGCACUGAGGUAAUGAUUAAUAGGGACAGUUGGGGGUAUUCGUAUUCCAUUGUAAGAGGUGAAAUUCUUGGAUUUUUGGAAGACGAACUACUGCGAAAGCAUUUACCAAGGAUGUUUUCAUUAA
This 378-nucleotide ribosomal RNA is filed under the name uncultured eukaryote. RNAcentral describes it as "partial 18S ribosomal RNA". It matches the Rfam family "Eukaryotic small subunit ribosomal RNA", at positions 592 to 976 of the family's 1831-position model. The record is from RNAcentral.